Molecule: ribosomal RNA, 159 nt
Filed under: Rhodobacter capsulatus
Lineage: Bacteria; Pseudomonadati; Pseudomonadota; Alphaproteobacteria; Rhodobacterales
Source: RNAcentral
AGCUUCUCCUGAUACUUGACUUGGACAGAUGGCUUCUUCCUCGGUUUGGUGGUCAUAGCGUUGGCUAAACACCCGAUCCCAUCCCGAACUCGGCCGUUAAGGGCCAACACGCCGAUGGUACUGCGUCUCAAGACGUGGGAGAGUAGGUCACCGCCAAAC